This 10537-nucleotide long non-coding RNA is filed under the name Theobroma cacao (cacao). Its description in RNAcentral is "long non-coding RNA (TCAC_LNC006214)". Lineage: Eukaryota; Viridiplantae; Streptophyta; Magnoliopsida; Malvales; Malvaceae. The record is from RNAcentral.
GAUGGUGAGUAUUAUGGCAAAAGUAAAGAGAUAGUACCCGAGGAUCAAGAAUCGGAGUACUCGGAACUCGAUUUCCAUUACAGUGAGUAACCUUACUAUCAUCUUAAUUAUCUAAAGUGGUUUUUAUCCGAUUUUGUGAUUUUAUGAAAAAUGAGUUAAAUGGUAAAUCUUUGUGUUUUGUAAUUAAAAUGUGAUUUAAUGAAAUGGUUUUAUAACAUUGUCUUGAAAUGAAAUGAUGGUUUGAAAAUAGAGUAAUUGGAGAUCGUUUUCAAGUGUUGUAAAUUCAUGGUUUAAAUUGAAUGGCUUAUGACAAUAUUUGCAUGAAUGGCUAAAUUGGUAUUUGUGUUGAAAUAUAUAAACUGUGUAUUUAGCCUUGAGAGGCUGGAUUGUGAUAUAAUUGCCAGGUCAUGCGGUUGAGAUUUUAUUGAAUUGGUGGGUUUAGCUUGCUGCAGUGGGCAGGUUCCGUGGACCAGCCUAUUAGAGGGGCACGGUAACCCCGUUAUAUUCUUACCUCGGUCGAAAAGGCGUGUAGGGUAACUCCCGAGGUACAUCUUUAGAGUUUACUUCAUGCCAAACCACCACGUGAGGGUGAACUCAGCCAACGCCAAGGAACAGCUAUGUUUUCAAAAUAAAAAUAUGAUUUAUGAGUACAUGACUUUGGGAUUCGGUUGGGAUAGCCCCAAGCCAAGGUAUCCCUGACAACCGAGUAUGAGAAUGAUUUUGGCAUGAGCCAAAGUUUUAAGAAAUUCAUAAGCCAUGUUGAUUACUCAAAUUAUAUGAAUUGAUUUUAUUUGGUUGAAAUGAGUUGAAAGGUGAUGAAUUACAGUUGAUGAUCUAUUUUAAUCUGUCUCCAUUUACUCAGCUUUAGAUAUUUUAGGUGGUAUUUGUUUACUAACUGGGAUUAUAUAAUCUCACCACCCUCCUUUCCACCCAUUUCAAGCUCAAGAUAGUCGGUAGAUAGCUCACUUUGUUGAGGGCUACAGUUGGACUUGCAUCCUCAAAAGCUGUAGGUUUAUCGCUUUUGAUACUUUUGGUCGUUCGUGGGCCCACAUGUUACUGUAAAUUAAAUUUUAUAAUUUGGUUAUUUGUAUUACAGUAUGUAUGAAUUUAUUUAGCUUUUAUGCUAUAAAAAUUAUUUACCGGUAACUCUAUAAAUAUUAUUUUACAAGAAAAUAGAAUGUAUUAUUGAAUAUUUAUAUUAUAUUUAAACAGUUAUAAUUUCAAUUUAAAUGAAUGUUUUAGAUAUCUAAACUUAUUUUUGAUUAUGAAAUAUGUGUUUUCCACUCGCAUACUACAUUUUUAGCUGGUUUCGAGACUUUUGAGAAAAAAUGACCAAAAUGCCCCUGUGAGCAAAAAAUUAUUUUUCUAUUGUUUUGAUUUGGAAAUAGUUUAUAAUCUCUCAAAACAUGAUACUUAACAACUGUUGCUCACAGGGGAGGUGCGAAAACUGACAUUAAAGCCUUACGGGGUUUUGGUUGACAUUUUGAGUAAUGAAUGUGUAUCGGAACAUCGCAGCGGUUGUCACGAGCUCGAUGAGAGUACCAGGUCAUGACAAUUAGAGUGGUAUCAGAGCUUUUGGUUUUAAAAAUUAGAGCUUUUGGGUUUAAAGUUGUUUUAAAGUUGUUUUAAAAACUACAAUGUCAGUGUGGCCCAAGUUAAGUUAAGUUAAGUUAGGUUUGAUAGAAUAGAAUACGUCCAUCUGCAUAUAGAAUUUGGAGUUGUUUAGACUCGUUCUAUUUCUUCUUAUAGAUCUUAUGGGAGCUAUGUGAACUUCUGUUCCCAAUAAUCCAUUUCCUUGUUAAUGUCAUGCAAAGGUCAUAAGUAGGGCCGUUGUUCGGGUUUAAGAUGCCACCCAUGACACGAGCCAGUGUUAGAAAGAUCUUAAAAUGAAUGCUCCUAAUGAAAGAUUAAUGAAAUGAUAUAUCCCUUCGAUUAAGGAUGGAGAAAUUUGGAGUUGGACUAAUAGGCCGUGAUAAUUUAUUCAAUUGGUGGAGUUAUAAUUGAACUCAUGGUUGUCAAUUGGAAAAAGAUUUGGGGACUAUGGACUAUAUAGGGGUUAAAAUAAAAGAGCACGUGUGAUAAUGGUAAUAAGGGGUACACUUUAAUUAGAAUGAAUAGUGAUGGUUGUAAUUCACUUGGAAUGUAUAAAUUAAGCAUUAAGGUAAGAGUAAACCCAUACUUAUGUGCAUGAAGAUAAGAACACUAUGUUAAUUGAGCUUGUUAUGCCCAUAUAAAAGUGGUGUUGGGAUUUUGAAAUAUUUUAUAUGUGAAUAUGUGUUGAAUAGGUACAACAACUUAGAGGGAACUGGUGUUGAUUUCAAUUAAGUGAUUGUGAGAUUUCAAGAAUUGAUUGGACCUAUUAUAGUUCAUGGAUAUAAGCACAUGAAUUAACUCAAGAGUGAGUAUCAAUGAUUAUUAUAAUUGAUGUGUAGUCAUGAAGUAAGAAGUUAGUAAACAAAUCUGCUCUAAGAAUGAGCUUGAACUUUGCUAUGCAUAGUAGGGGGAGCCAAAGGAUUAAAGGACUAGAUGUGGAAUUAGCAGCUUGAGGUUAAAUGACUUGGAAAUGUCGAAUCUAGUCUAAGUGCCAUAUAAAGUUCUAUAAUUAAGACUAAUAUACGAAUUACUUGAAAGAUCAAUUUAAAAGUUUAUUCGGUUCAAAGUGUGGCCUAUGAUACGAAUGAUCAGUCUUGAAGGUGAUCUCCCCAUCGUAGGAAUUUAGAAAAUAUUGAUGUUUGGAUAUACUCUAAGAGAGAGAACUUCUGCAUCCUAAGUUUAGAACAACUUUGAUCUUAUGAUCACAAAGGCAAGGUGUAAUAACUAAGUAAAUUAUUCACUUAAUAAAUGUGAUUGGUUAUUGAUGAAUAAAAUCAAGAUCUUAACAUUUGGUGGUAUACAAUUUGAUAAUUAUGCAUUUAAGAGUUAUUUGGAGACAAUUCCUUCAUCAAAUUUGCACUAAAUGCUAUGGUAAAGGCAUAUCAAUGCUAAUAUGGAAAUGUAUCCAGGAAUGAUUUUAACAUACCACCAAAGGAGAAUUAAACAUGUUGAAAUUAAUGUUCUAAUAGUGUGCAUAUGAUAGAAAGCUAAUUUGUAAGUUGUAGUUUUCAUGAUCAUGAAAUAUAUAAAGAUUAUCAAUAUAUGGACAUACACUUGGAGUAUUUACAAGUUUGGAGUAUUUAAGAUAUAAUUAAAUGGAAUUAGCAUUAGUUAAGGUACGUAAAUCUUUUAAUUAAUUUCUGUGGAGUAUGCAUGAUAGUAGAAUAGAGGAACAUAAUGCCAUGAUAUUAUAUGGUGAAGUUACUAUACAAUAUGAAAAGAGUAUUCUAAAGUGGGAUUUAUUGAUUGUUGACAAGUGUUAUAGGAUGAGAUGAAUUUGAAAAUAUCGACUUUACCUGUUAUAUGUGAUAAGCACAAGAGGAUAUAAAUGGUUAUGGAAAUUGUGACGUAAGCUUGGAGGGAAACCAAACGGUUGAGAAUGAUUAGUGUAGUAACCUUAAAUAUAGAUGACUAACAUUGAUUAAGUAAACUCUAACAGCCACCGUGCCGUGGUGCUAAGAACACUUCAUGUCUAGGACGCAUGAAUAAAAUGAGACAGAUGUGAAGUUGAACUUACAAGUUGACCUAAAGUCAUUGAACUUGAUUCUAAGUUUUGUUAAUUGGAGUUUUAAGGUUUUGGAAGGUAUCGAUAUGAAUGAGUUAAAGCUGAAAUAGUUAAAGGCAUUCCCUUCGGGGGGGGGGGGCGGGGAAGCAAAAGGUCUGGGGUUCGAAACUUGGCGAGAAGGUCCUACAAGGCCUGUCGUGCCGCCCUUAGGCGCGGGGUUUCGAGUAAGUCAAGUGAUGGGGAUCCAAACAUAAUAAUACCUUAGAGUGGGCCCCGAAAGGGAUGCCACAUAAACGGCUAAGUCACGAGUUAAGUGAUCACCUGUUGUGAGACAUAAGUUUAAGAUAGAUAUCCCCAAGGAAAUACUCAAGAGAAGUUCUGCCAUGGAUCUCGUGAAAGCAAGCAUUAAGUUAUGUGGUUAUAAAAAAGGAAGCUAUAAGCUGAGAGUGAUACUUGUAUUGACAUGGAAAAGUACUUGAGGAGAAUCUAGUUUCAAGUCUUGUAAUUUCAAUUACAAUUUGUAAAUUGGUUAAGGAAGAAUGAUGUUAUAUUCGUAUGAAAGAGUGGAACAAAGGAUGAUUGAAGUUGACCUUGAUAAUGAAGUCAGAUAAUGAAACUUUCCUAAUAUAUUAUGGAAAAUUGGAAUUUGAAAAUGCUUGAGGCAUACAUGAUUCAAAUGGGUCUGAGUCUUAAGUGACAAAUCAAUAUCCGAAUGCAAAAAAGAUACAAGGUAAUGUAGAGGCAUAAAGGAUAAUCGAGGAAAAAGGAUGACUCUUAGGAAUUUUGGUAUUGCAUAAGAUGCAAUGAUCAAGUUAAGAUAAAUCUUUGAGGCAUCAAUGGGAUUAUAAAGCAUACACGCAUAAUAGAUUAUAAUUCAAUGGAGAUGACAUUGUGAUGCAAUGAUAUAUAGUACAAGGAAACUUAAGCAUAUAAUUGGAAAUGAUAAGAAUAGAGUAUAAGAUGUGAAACUAUGCACAGGCAUGAUGAUAAUUUGUAUGAAUUAUGAAGAUUAUUCUAUUGAAUCUUGGUUAUGGUUGGGAAUGAACAAAGAGAAAUUAGUUUGAAGGUAUUUGAAAACAAAGACCCGUAUACUUAAUAAGGAAUAUGGACAUUUGAAUGUGCAUGUAUACGUGUGUGUGGAGUUAGUGAUGUACCCAACUAAAAUAAAGAAUGGUUUUAAUGGUUCAAGAUUUGAACUCAAUAUAUUUGAUGAGUUGUAUAGAUAAUGUAACGAUCAAGAAUCUUAUCAAAAGUCGAUUUAUGGCGACCUAAGGAAUUUUGGGAAAAUAGUUAAGGGAAUGUAAUCUAUAGUGUGAUUAAGCCAUAUGAGAUGGAUUAAUAGGAUUAAGAAGAUUGAAAUUUCCUAAAUGCAAGGUAAAUAUGAAGUAUGUGGAAAUAAUUGAAGCCAUUAAUCUUCCCUAACGCUGAGGAUAUGUACAGGAAUGGGUAUGGCAUGUUAAUGAUGUCGUAAACUACACAACAGUGUAUGAGGAUAGGAUGAAUGAAUGAAAGUCGAGAAAUUUGAUAUGGAAUGAAGUAAUAAGUUAGUGAUUGGUAUACCUAAAUAAGUAUAAAAUGUGAUCGAAAUUGGUAUGAUUGAGAUAGAGUUAUGGUUCAAGUUUAAUGAUAGUAAUAGAAGCAUGUUUGGUGUCUCGAUAUAAGAGAUCAUAAUUGUAAAGGUUACUGUUGAUCUAAUUUUAAAGGAUAAUAAUAGACAUAAGUGAAGUACUCAAGUUAAAUUGGAGGUAAAUGAGGUGAACAAAUCAAAAUUGCCUAUAAAAGGGGAGGACAUAAGAAGUGGAGCAUUAUAUGAGAAAACAAUACCCCUACCUUUUCUCUGAGUUUAGUAAAUAAAAUUUUGAGGUCAAAAUUUUAUUUUAAGAGGGGUAGUGCUGUCAAGCCUAGCUCUACAAUAUGUUUAUUAUGCCAUUCCUACAUAAGAAUGCAUGUUUGCUUAUUUGGGUACCUCGAAAAUCGUUAAAAGACGGUAUUAUACCAAAUGGUACAAUCAAGUUAAUUUAAGCCUCGAACUAGUCCAAAUAGAGAUUUUAAGAUGAAAUUGAGAAUUUAGAAACCCUAGAAUGACUUAAAAUGGUAAUUCGAAGUUCGAGGACCGAUUUAUAGUCAAAUUAGAAUUUUCAUGACCAGGGGUAAAAUGGUCAUUUUGCCACCCAAGGUUAAGAUGUGAGUGUUGGAUGAAAUUUUUGGCUAAGAUUGAUCAUUUGGAGUAUAAUUUGAGUUUGAGAAGUGAAAAAUUUUAAUUCCGGCAUUUUUUCGAGCAUAAGGGCAAAAUAGUCAUUUUACCACCCUUAGGGUAAAAUUGUAAUUUUACACCACCGAACACUUGUCCAGCACAUGAAUUUCACUCAUUAUUAUCAUGGAUAAUUGAAGGAUUUUAUGUGGUGGAGAAAGAAAGCUUAAUAGUUAAGAAUUUAAAAAUGGACCAAUGGAAUGGUGACAAGUGUCAAGCUUUUAUUUCUUUAUUAUUUUCCUUAUAAAUUAGCACAAAACCAGCCCAUUUCUCUUCAUUAUGGCCAGCCAAAGCAAGAACAAAGGAAGAAAAGGAAGAACAAAACCUAGGUGGAAAAAUUCAAGAGAAAUUGACAAAAUUUCAAAGAAUCAAGUGACAAAAGUUAAGAUUUUUCAAUUCUAGCUUGUGAUUUACCUUUCCUAUGCAUUCUUUUUCAUUUUCCAUGGUUGAGAAUCAAGUUUGCAUGAGGAUACCCUUGCUGGCCGGACAUGGGGGGAGGAGUUUUGAACUUGGAUUUGGUUAGAUUUCAAUGUAUUUUAGUGGUUUUAGUUAGUUAGUGAUGUGUAGCAUGAAAAACAAAUAAGAAAAAUUCAUGUUCUUCCAUAACCCAUCAUAGGCCGAAUUUUCCAUGUAGAGUGUGGAUGGUGGAUUUGAUUUUAUUUCAAGUGAAUUGGUUAGGAAAUUAUGAAUUACGGUGAGAAAAUCAAGUAGGAAAAAUCAUGGUGUUGAUGCACCCACCAUGGCCGAAAUUCCUAAGAGAAAAUGUGACAAUGAUUUUGCUAAAUUUUAUGCUAUUUGACUUGUGUUUGAUGGUUUGAAGAAUUGGAAUAAAAAUGGAGUUAAUUGGAGUUGAAUUGGACAUAUUGGCCAAUUAAUCGAGUGAUAAAUCGAAUUAGGCAAAUACCGUUUUAUUUAGGUACACAAUUGAAUUUGUGUAGAACACCGUGUUUAGACGAUAAUCCGAACAAUUUACAUCCCAUUUCAUGUAUUAGUAUAAAGCCUGAAUUGGUUUUAUAACAAUUUAGCACAAUUGUAGUAAAUGGCUUUGUGAGACCUCAACCCCUAUAGGCUCAUAACUAUGCAUAGACGCAAUAACACGGGCCAGGGGUAGUUUCAUUAUUUUUUCUAAAAAGUACCCAUAAUAGGGUUUUAUGGUAUUUUAAGGUCUAAUAGGCAUAAUAAGAUAUUUUGGGUGCCAAGGAGAGAAGAGGAGGCAAGAGGAAAUUUUUGGAAUAAAAUAAUAUUAAAAUAUUAAUAUUUUAUUCAAUGUCAAAAAUUUUAAGUUUUCGUAAACCCGAGUAGUUUAGAUCAUUGUAGACCUUGUCCCAGUAUCAAAAGAAUAAAAAGAUUGUACAAAAGAUGGGAGAAAAACAAGUUAACUUGCUAAACGGGCAUUUUUAUAAUUUCCAAAAGAAUUGGAUAAGCUUGGACUAUAAGCUUCUUGCUUCUAGUAGCUUCUCACAUAUUUUCCAGCAGGUUUUCUCUUUCUUCUUCUUCUCCUUUUCAUGUUGCUUCCAUCCUCUAUGGAAGCUUGAUAUCAAGCUUUAUAACCUCUCCCAAAAUAGCUUAAAUUUUCAUGUUUCGAUGCACCCUUUUAUGGAAACUAUGUGCUCUUCCAUUCUCUCACUUCCAAACCCUUGAAAAAAUCUUGUUUCCAUGCUUUCUCUCACUAUUUAGGUGUUUAGAGAGAGAAAAAAAAGAAAAAAAAAGCCCUAUAAUUGCUUGCGAAUUGUUGGAAAGAAUUUCAAAGUUUCAAAACCAUCAAGGUGAGUAGUAAAUUAGCAUUUGGUUCUAAGUGUUGAUAAUGUUUAGUGAUUGAUUUAUGGAUUUAUUGUUGAGGUUGUGUAUUGACUUUAUUGUGACUAGGAUAGUGGGAAUAGAUAGCCAUUUAACAUGGCAAUUGAAAGCUAGCUAAGGGGUAGCUUUUAGGGUUUAUAAGUAUGAUUUGACAUUAUGGUGAUGUUAAUUUGAUGGUAGGUUCCAACGAAGCCUCAUUAUCCCAAUUGGACCAUUAGGGGAGUUAGGAUCGGGUAAAGGCUUAAAUAAUACCGGUGAGUGAACUUGCAUUUCAAAAAUCAUUUUGGGAGACAUAAUUGUAUUGGUAUGAAACAUUGAAUGAUUUAUUCGAACUUGUCUUUAAAAACAUGUGCCUUGGGAACAAGCCUUUGACAAAAUAUUUUGAUGUUGUGAAAAUGUGAAAUGUGUAAAAGAAUGGACCUAUGUGCUCCUAUACUGUGUUGAUAUAUGUAUAUAUGUGUGUGUAUGAAUAAUCUUGUGUGAUGAUGAUGACCCGGCUAUGUGCGAGUAGGGAGUGUGCAUAAGCCGAUGAUGAUGAUGAUGAUCCGGCUAUGUGCGAGUAGAGAGUGCGCAUAGGCCGAUGAUCAUGAUGACCUGGCUAUGUGCGAGUAGGGAGUGCACAUAGGCCGAUGAUGAUGAUGAUCUGACUAUGAUGAUGAAUGAAGUGGGAUGGUGUAUUUGUUGAUAUAUGUUUAUAUAUGUAUAUGUGAUAGCAAGUUUAUGAUUAUAAUAUGUGAUUGUUUUGAAUGUAGAUAACUUGAUUAUUGCCGAUGUGUUCACUUUGAUGUGCAAUAUGGUAGGGAUGGAUUUUGUGGCAUGUGAAAACCCCUUAUUUGUCAUUUGCCCCGAAUCUCGUUGCAGCGAAAAUAAAUCUCGCCGUAGCGAGAAACUCUCAGAUUUUGGUGCAAUGCUUUCACUUUGAUGAAGAUUUUGACAAUCUUCCUUUCCGAACUGGGAAAAAUGGUAAACAUAAAAGUUGUAGCCCUGCCUCUUAGCUUUCUAAUGAUCUAACAAACAUGUCAAUUAGACCUAUGUAGUGGAAUAUAUACUUGAAAAACUGAACCAUAUGCAAACCGAGAAUGCCUUUUUCUGCAGUGAGAAACGUGCUGUCACGUUGCUACCUUACUCGGGUUCUGAUAUAAUUUCCUCCACUCCCUUAUCUUCAUGAUUGAGCAUGCAUCUUUGCAAUACUAAGAGUCCAUUGAUCACUGACCAAAACAAGGGGGUUUAGGAAAGAAAUUAUACCAAAUUACAUUGUUUUCAAAACAAGUGCAUCACGAUUUCCAAAUUCUUCCUUAUCAAUUGCUUGUUCCCUUCCUUGUUCACUCACUGGGUUUAUACUCACCGUUUUCAACUUCAUGUUUUCAGAUCAUGAGAUAACUAGUAGCUAAGUCCAGGUGUCUUCAUACAUUCGACCCUUGGUAAGUGUCUCGGCAUUCAGUAUCUGUAUAUUCGUCUGAGUCUCUCCGCUGGCAGUCGAAUACUCUUUUUGUUGUGUAUAGGUAAACCCAAUGUAAAUUAUUAAGCUAUAUGUUUAGACAAUGUAUGUAUAUUUCAAUGAGUAAGCCAUUAAGAGAUGGCAAUGUCUAUCACUAUUUUGACUGAAAGUUAUGAAAUGUGACUUAGCAAUAUUGAUGGAAAAAUGAACAGGAUAAUAGAUAGGCUUGCUUGGGCUUAAUGGACUAUGUUCAUUGGGCCCUUGCGUCGGUCAUGGCCCAAAAUUUGGAUCGUGAUAGGCUUAUUAUGCAUUACGUCUAGGUGGUGAGCAUUCUGGAAAAAGUAAAGAGAUAGUACCCGAGGAUCAAGAAUCGGAGUACUCGAAACUCGAUUUCCAUUACAGUGAGUGACCUUACUAUUAUCUUAAUUAUCUAAAGUGGUUUUUAUUCGAUUUUGUGAUUUUAUGGAAAAUGGGUUAAAUGGUAAAUCUUUGUGUUUUGUAAUUAAAAUGUGAUUUAAUGAAAUGAUUUUAUAACAUUGUCUUGAAAUGAAAUGAUGGUUUGAAAAUAGAGUAAUUGGAGAUCGUUUUCAAGUGUUGUAAAUUCAUGGUUUGAAUCGAAUGGCUUAUGACAAUAUUUGCAUGAAUAGCUGAAUUAGUAUUUGUGUUGAAAUAUAUGAACUGUGUAUUUAGCCUUGAGAGGCUGGAUUGUGAUAUAAUUGCCAUGUCAUGCGGUUGAGAUUUUAUUGAAUUGGUGGGUUUAGUUUGCUGCAGUGGGCGGGUUCCGUGGACCAGCCUAUUAGAGGGGCACAGUAACCCCGUUAUAUUCUUACCUCGGUCAGAGAGGCGUGUAAGGUAACUCCCAAGGUACAUCUUUAAAGUUCACUUCAUGUCAAACCACCAUGUGAGGGUGAACUCAGCCAAUGCCAAGGAACGACUAUGUUUUCAAAAUAAAAAUAUGAUUUAUGCGUACAUGACUUUUUAACAACCUUGGCAGACUCGGUUGGGAUAGCCUCAAGCCAAGGUACCCCUAACAACCGAGCAUGAGAAUGAUUUUGGCACGAGCCAAAGUUUUAAAAAAUUCAUAAGCCAUGUUGAUACUCAAUUUAUAUGAAUUGAUUUUAUUUGGUUGAAAAAAGUUGAAAGGUGAUGAAUCAUAGUAUGAUGAUCUAUUUUAAUCUGUCUCCAUUUACUCAGCUUUAGAUAUUUUAGAUGGUAUUUGUUUACUCACUGGGAUUAUAUAAUCUCACCACCCUCCUUUCCACCCAUUUCAGGCUCAGGAUAGUCGGUAGAUAGCUCACUUUGUUGAGGCCUACAGUUAGACUUACAUCCUCAAAAAUUGUAGGUUUACCGCUUUUGAUACUUUAGUCGUUCGUGAGCCCACGUGUCACUGUAAAUUAAAUUUUAUACUUUGGUUAUCUGUAUUACAAUAUGUAUGAAUUUAUUUAGCUUUUAC